AGUCAAGGGGUAGCAAUACCACUGGCGCACGGGUGAGUAACACGUAGGUUAUCUGCCCCCAUCACAGACAUAACCUCGGGAAACCGAGGCUAAUAUCUGAUGAGGUCGUGAGAUCAAAGCUUCGGCGGAUGGGGAUGAGCCUGCGGCUGAUUAGCUAGUUGGUGAGGUAAUGGCUCACCAAGGCGACGAUCAGUAGCUGGUCUGAGAGGACGAACAGCCACACUGGAACUGAGACACGGUCCAGACUCCUACGGGAGGCAGCAGUGAGGAAUAUUGGUCAAUGGGAGCAAUCCUGAACCAGCAAUGCCGCGUGUGGGAUGAAGGCGCUUCGCGUCGUAAACCACUGUCGGACGGGACGAAAGGAGCUAUGAAGCUCUAGGACGGUACCGUCAAAGGAAGGAUCGGCUAACUACGUGCCAGCAGCCGCGGUAAUACGUAGGAUCCAAGCGUUGUCCGGAUUUACUGGGUAUAAAGGGUGCGUAGGCGGCCUUGUGCGUCAGAGGUGAAAUCUCCGGGCUUAACCCGGAGGGUGCCUUUGAUACGGCAGGGCUUGAGUGCGAGAGAGGAUGAUGGAAUUCCUGGUGUAGCGGUGAAAUGCGUAGAUAUCAGGAGGAACACCGGUGGCGAAGGCGGUCAUCUGGCUCGAAACUGACGCUGAGGCACGAAAGCGUGGGGAUCAAACAGGAUUAGAUACCCUGGUAGUCCACGCCCUAAACGAUGUAUGCUUGGUGUUGGGGUCGCAAGAUCUCAGUGCCGUAGAAAUCUGAUAAGCAUACCACCUGGGGAGUACGAUCGCAAGGUUGAAACUCAAAUGAAUUGACGG
Molecule: ribosomal RNA, 823 nt
Filed under: uncultured bacterium
Lineage: Bacteria
Description: bacterial SSU rRNA
Rfam family: Bacterial small subunit ribosomal RNA
Source: RNAcentral